Molecule: ribosomal RNA, 440 nt
Filed under: uncultured bacterium
Lineage: Bacteria
Description: partial 16S ribosomal RNA
Rfam family: Bacterial small subunit ribosomal RNA
Source: RNAcentral
CCUACGGGGGGCAGCAGUAGGGAAUCUUUCACAAUGGGCGAAAGCCUGAUGGAGCAACGCCGCGUGCAGGAUGAAGGCCUUCGGGUUGUAAACUGCUUUUAUAAGCGAGAAAUAUGAUGGUAACUUAUGAAUAAGGAUCGGCUAACUACGUGCCAGCAGCCGCGGUCAUACGUAGGAUCCGAGCAUUAUCCGGAUUUACUGGGUGUAAAGGGAGCGUAGACGGCAGCGCAAGUCUGGAGUGAAAUCCCAUGGCUUAACCAUGGAACUGCUUUGGAAACUGUGCAGCUGGAGUGCAGGAGAGGUAAGCGGAAUUCCUAGUGUAGCGGUGAAAUGUGUAGAUAUUAGGAGGAACACCAGUGGCGAAGGCGGCUUACUGGACUGUAACUGACGUUGAGGCUCGAAAGCGUGGGGAGCAAACAGGAUUAGAUACCCUGGUAGUC